This 440-nucleotide ribosomal RNA is filed under the name uncultured bacterium. Its description in RNAcentral is "partial 16S ribosomal RNA". It matches the Rfam family "Bacterial small subunit ribosomal RNA", at positions 338 to 795 of the family's 1533-position model. The record is from RNAcentral.
CCUACUGGAGGCAGCAGUAGGGAAUUUUGCGCAAUGGGCGAAAGCCUGAAGCAGCAACGCCGCGUGAUCGAGACGCCCUUCAGGGUGUAAAGAUCUGUCAGUGGGGACGAAACUUGACGAUACCCACAGAGGAAGCACCGGCUAACUCCGUUCCAGCAGCCGCGGUAAUACGGGGGGUGCAAGCGUUAUCCGGAAUAUUUGGGCGUCAAGAGGUCGUAGGCGGCACGUAAAGUCUGGUGUUAAAGGCAGAGGCUCAACUUCUGUAUGGCACUUGAUACUUGCGAGCUAGAAUGUGGUAGCGGUAAAGGGAAUGUCUGGUGUAGCGGUGAAAUGCUUAGAGAUCAGGCGGAACAUCGGUGGCGUAAGCGCUUUACCGGGCCGUAAUUGACGCUGAGGAACGAAAGCCAGGGUAGCAAAUGGGAUUAGAUACCCCAGUAGUC